This 388-nucleotide ribosomal RNA is filed under the name uncultured bacterium. RNAcentral's name for it is "bacterial SSU rRNA". It matches the Rfam family "Bacterial small subunit ribosomal RNA", at positions 30 to 420 of the family's 1533-position model. The record is from RNAcentral.
AUUGAACGCUGGCGGCAUGCCUUACACAUGCAAGUCGAACGGCAGCGCGGGGCAACCUGGCGGCGAGUGGCGAACGGGUGAGUAAUAUAUCGGAACAUACCCUAGAGUGGGGGAUAACGUAGCGAAAGUUACGCUAAUACCGCAUACGAUCUAAGGAUGAAAGCAGGGGAUCGCAAGACCUUGUGCUCCUGGAGCGGCCGAUAUCUGAUUAGCUAGUUGGUGGGGUAAAGGCCCACCAAGGCAACGAUCAGUAGCUGGUCUGAGAGGACGACCAGCCACACUGGAACUGAGACACGGUCCAGACUCCUACGGGAGGCAGCAGUGGGGAAUUUUGGACAAUGGGGGCAACCCUGAUCCAGCAAUGCCGCGUGAGUGAAGAAGGCCUCGG